Cercophora newfieldiana is the source of this 105-nucleotide non-coding RNA. NCBI's taxonomy places the organism in Eukaryota, Fungi, Ascomycota, Sordariomycetes, Sordariales, Lasiosphaeriaceae. The record is from the annotation of a GenBank genome assembly.
GCCUGGUUAGCUCAGCUGGUUAGAGCGUCGUACUAAUAAAGCGUAGCAUUUAUUAAGUCCUAAAACGCAAUGCGAAGGUCAACAGUUCAAUCCUGUUACUGGGCA